UCUCCUCAUACGUCCCCCAAGGACCCUGGGCUACCGAGGGAACACUAGCUCAUAGCUUGUGACUUCAGCACUGUAUGGAAGAGAACAGGAGCAGACCCGUCUCACUGUUGGGGCAGCUGUGGACAGUCACGCGUCUAUCUUGGUUCCAGCCAGGCUCUCAGCUUGCACAGCCAGGGUGCCAGAAACUGCCCGGGCCAGAUUUUCAAACCCCUGAGGUAGGAGGAGCCACCAUCAUCCUGUUUCUCCUCUGGCCCUCACAACCUCCCCCUACUUCCAGCCUGAGAGUUCUGGUCCACUGGGGAAUGUGACCUUUGAAAGUCUUGGCCCUGUGAGCAUCUUAACCUCAGCAGCACGUUGUUUUGUUUUGUUCACAUCAUUUUCCCCCACCCAGCACAGGGCACGGCACAUAGUAGGUGCUCAAUAAACAUUUGUUGGGCCAGGUGUGGUAGCUCAUGCCUGUAAUUCCAUC
RNAcentral lists this long non-coding RNA (469 nucleotides) under Homo sapiens (human). RNAcentral describes it as "HSALNT0209470". The record is from RNAcentral. Lineage: Eukaryota; Metazoa; Chordata; Mammalia; Primates; Hominidae.